RNAcentral lists this long non-coding RNA (2366 nucleotides) under Anas platyrhynchos platyrhynchos (common mallard). Its description in RNAcentral is "lncRNA (ENSAPLG00000028500.1)". The record is from RNAcentral. Lineage: Eukaryota; Metazoa; Chordata; Aves; Anseriformes; Anatidae.
UUCCUACAAAACUAUAAAGGAUACCUAUUUUUUUUUUCCCCAGUAAUAAGUCAUGACAGACAUUUAGACACACACAGAGUGAGACCUCCCCAUGAGUUUUCUUUUGACAUUGCUUGAAUCAGGCUCUAUGUUUAAAGAAAAAAAAUUCCUACACUACUUCCCUGUAUUUUUAAAUGAAUGUCAUCCAAAUGGCGUUGCCAUUCGAACACUGCAGUGAAAAUUCUUAGCAUGCUCACAGCGCAGUGUGGGAAUCUCUGAAAUUGUCCCCCGCAGGUUUGAAUGCAGCUCCUGCAGGUUCACUUGAGCUUCAUUUCGCUAAUCACACAGGGACAGUUAUUUUUUGUUCUCACUCAGCUCCUCUUUCACAUGCAGGCGCACACACGCCACACACACUCUCAGGCUGCAUCUCUCCCGCUUCGUGGCACUUAAGUCCAGAUUAGCUCUGACCAUUCCUGCAUGCAAGCGGAGAGCGAGCAGCACAACACCCCAGUGCCUAAGACCUUAGAAGCUGCCACAGAGGCGGGGGCAGAGAUCGUCUUCAAGGCUGCUGUCAUCUGGAAUUUUAUGUACUUCAUUUUCUUUCACUCUGUAUGCCUGUCACAUCGGCUUAACUCCAACACUCAGUCUGCUGUCUCCAUAUUCAAGCACCUUGCUCACUGGCCUGCUUUUCCUUCUCAGUUUGGGAUAGGUGGGUUAACUUUAUGCAUGCUCACUACCUUUGGGGAAAAAAAAAAAAAAAAAGGUUGUGCGAUGACUAUUAUUAAUAAUGAAUAGUUAUAGGGCAAAUCUUUAUGCCUACAGUGCCAACAACAAUGGCAAGGCACUAUUUGUGCCACCUUGCUAUGCAAACAAAACCGCAAGAGAGCACGGCAAGGCUUUAGGAGUGUUAUUUUUCGUUUAACAUAUCUGACAGUAUUAGGUUAAAAUUUUAAGGCCAACCUAAUUUUUCCAGUAUGAACUUUUAUUUUUUUAUGGUCUUCUUUAAAUCAUCACAUUGCUCAACGUGGUAUCACUGCCAUCUGCAAAGAAAUUCUGCUGCUGAGUCAAAACUAAUUUGUAUUGGUAAAGUGUAGGAAUGUAAAAGUUUUUCCUGGACUGCUGAAUUUUUAGGGCAUGUUUGCCUGCUGUAUGUGGAAAUAAUGCUAAAGUACAAAACAACAGAAGAAGAACUAAACGUAACAGCAAGUGCAACACUGGGUGUCACCUGGAAGGUGAACAUGAGAGCACCUAGAGCUGCUGGGAGCUGGGUCAACAGCACCAAUCAGCUGAUGCAGUAGAAAUUGGGAAGGAAAGGACCUGACAGAAACAGGAAGGGUAUAAAGGUCAAAUGAAAGGAUAAGUAACACUGAAGAGUUGACAAGUUACUAAAUGAUGAUGCAAAUUACAGCCUUCUGUAUGCCCCUCAUAUUUCAUAGCCUCAACUCUACAUACAUCAGGGAGAUUAUAACUGCCUAUUUCUCAAAAAGAUCUGUGGCUGGCCCAUUGAAAAAGGUGCCACCUGCGUUGUAAGGACUGAAGUCAAGCCCUGAGUCACUGCUUCACCAUGGCAAAACACAACACAGGAGUCAAUGUGCAGUGGUGCUCCCAAGUUUGGUGGGCAUGGUGCAGGAGAUUUGUGACACAGUGAUCCUGAGAACCCCUUUCAGUGGGCAACUGCUGCUCAGGGUGGUAUGGAAAGCCCUCUGGGGAAACAUUCUGAAUUCUCUGCCAUCCCCUCUGUCCCUCCUAAGUACAGUUGUAACCAAGAGAGAGGCAGGAUUUUGAAGACUCGUUAUCUGUGCAUUGGUCCCUUCUGCUCUGUUGCCAGCUCUGGGACGAUCAUGCCUUCCCAGUGGAAAGUGUUGCAUGUACCAAGAAAAGAGGCAGAGGGGUCAGAGCAGUGAAUGAGUACAUGUACCUCAUACCAUCUCUCUGCUGUCUUCAGCAUUACAAAAAGUACUCACUGUUUUAUAGCCAUCUCAUAUUUCUCAAGCAUUUGGAACCUCCACCCCAUCCAAGGCAGCUCACUUUGGGAACCCCCAAGAUCAUGGUGUAGUUUAGUGGAGCUGAGCAGAGGGCAACCAAAGUGGGAAAGAGGGGACAGUGCUCUGCUUUGGCUGUGGUCAUGCAGCCCCCUUCUUCCCUGCAGUGAGGUACCCUCUGGAGAUAGAUGCUGCCACAUCUAGGGCAUGCACUGGAGACAUGCAUGCACAUACAUCCACACUCCUACCUUAUGACAGUACAAGAGCUGUCCAAAACUAUUUUCAAUAAUUGAUUUGCUGUUUAAUUGAACAUCAUGACUGACUAACAUAGCUCAUUACUUUACUCAUUAGUUAAUUAUCGGAGAAAGUAGGACAAGUCAAUAAAAUGGAAGGCUGUAAAUUCCA